Ixodes scapularis (black-legged tick) is the source of this 335-nucleotide long non-coding RNA. RefSeq lists it as uncharacterized. NCBI's taxonomy places the organism in Eukaryota, Metazoa, Arthropoda, Arachnida, Ixodida, Ixodidae. The record is from RefSeq and is a predicted model, not a curated record. The transcript is spliced from 3 exons.
GGCUCCUGAGGGCGCAAUAAUUAACUUGAGGUUAAUUAAUUGUUGUGGUAAUUAAGGGAUCUAAUAUUUUUUAGAGAAAAGUCGUAACAGCAGCAAUUACGCUGUACACUCAUUGGAUGAGUCUGACCAUGAGGAAGGAAUCGGAGGAGCCUCAUCACCACCUUUCUGGCAUCAAAGUGAGAGAGGUGAUUACGAAGCUGCAGGCAACUUCAUGGUCCCACCCUCAUCAAGCUCUCCAGAUUUCUCACGUCUUAUACUAAGAGAGCUUCGCUUUGUAAAGAAGCAACUGAAAACAAUAACCAAAAAGCUGUUGGAAAGAGAAGAACCUUGCGAGC